Non-coding RNA from Pelobates cultripes (western spadefoot toad), 429 nucleotides. The record is from the annotation of a GenBank genome assembly. NCBI's taxonomy places the organism in Eukaryota, Metazoa, Chordata, Amphibia, Anura, Pelobatidae.
UAUAUAUAUAUAUAUAUAUUCUUGAAGAGUAACAAAGCAACAAAAAAAGAUUUGAAUAGGCUAUACAUCGGUACAUCUGCAGCUUUGAUGUCCACCACAUUAAGAAACAUGUAAAACACAUAACAUAGGCAGCAUAUGAUCCAUACAUCUCAAUGUACUUUACCAAAUAAGUGCAUGGCUUGUUUAUCUUGCGAUUGCAAAUAAACUGUCAUUUGAAGUACUGUAUUUUUGAAAUUGUUGCAUUCCUAUCAUUUAUAUAUAGAUAUUAAAAAGAAAAUUACAGGCCUGAAGCACUAAUCUGGAGUGCCUAAUAUACCAGACAGUGGUGUUUUAAAUUAGAGACAAUUAUGUACAUUUUGAUACUGUAUUGAGAUUAUUUUUUUACAGUUCUGCAUAUGAUAUAGCAUCAAGUGUAUGUAUUCAUUAGAG